Molecule: transfer RNA, 69 nt
Organism: Camelus ferus (Wild Bactrian camel)
Lineage: Eukaryota; Metazoa; Chordata; Mammalia; Artiodactyla; Camelidae
Rfam family: tRNA
About the family: Transfer RNA (tRNA) molecules are approximately 80 nucleotides in length. Their secondary structure includes four short double-helical elements and three loops (D, anti-codon, and T loops).
Source: Rfam
GAGGGUAUAGCUCGGUAGAGUGUGCGCUUAGCAUGCGUGAGGUCCUGGGUUCAAUCCCCAGUACCUUCA